Molecule: small nuclear RNA, 107 nt
Filed under: Jaculus jaculus (lesser Egyptian jerboa)
Lineage: Eukaryota; Metazoa; Chordata; Mammalia; Rodentia; Dipodidae
Source: RNAcentral
GUGCUCGCUUUGGCAGCACAUAUACUAAAAUUGGAACGAUACAGAGAAGAUUAGCAUGGCUCCUGUGCAAGGACAACAUGCAAAUUCAUGAAGCAUUCCAUAUUUUU